UCGUCCACAACAAGAUGGUGCAUGGUGGUUGGCGCUGCGACGGCGUCGUGCACGGCAAGGUGUUGCGGGCGAUCCGCGAGAGGAACUGGCGGUUUAGCAUGACAAGAUUAGGGAGGUGAUUGUUAGCACUAAUCUUGUCAUGAUGUACCAGCAUGCAUGUUUAGUUUUGAGUUUGCAUGUAGUUUAGAUGAUCUAGGGCAGUGUAUGUAGGCCAAUGAUACUUCAGCUACGGGCGUGAAGAAAGCGAGAUGUCGGGCUGCCGUGCGAUGCGGUGAGCACGGCAAGAUGCCGAUGAUGUCGUGCGAUACGGCGAGGCUGUGAGAAGCAGCGAGACGCGACGAAGCUGGAGGAUGAUGGGCUGCUCGUUCAGGUUGAGCCGAGUGAUUUGGCCAAGCCGUAGUUAGUUAGAGUGUGCUGGUUGGUUGUAGCUAGCUAGCUUCGUGCAUGAAGUAGUAGGCCACGUUGAGACAUGGAGCUAGUUUUAGAUAUGGCCGAGUCGUGUGGCCGUUGGAGUGAUUUCAGGAGUAGGAUAAGGCUGUUAGUGCAUGCAUAGAUUAGUGGGAUUAGUUGCCGAGAGAGGUGGCUGGCCAGUGCGUGUAUGGUCCUUGUAUAUAUAUGUUUCAGUGGAGUAAUGAAGAGAGGAGGCCGAGAGGGCUGAGCAGAGAAACCAUGUAGCCAUUGUGGUUCACCAAGGGAGUGUCUCUGGCAAAGCCGUUCCUCUUCCUUGGUAUAUGCGUGCGUGUGUGUGUGUGUGUUCAUGAGAGAGUUCUUGAGAGAAAACACAAGAGAAUUGUGUGAGAGGGAGAAGAGAGUUGUGAGAGGCAACUCGAGGUAGAAGAAGGAGCGGCGCUGCGAGGAGGCGGCGCCAACAAUUGGCAUCAGAGCCUUGUUGAUCCGUGGCGGCGACGACGGUGCCGGCGGCUAUGGUGGCCGGCGUGGCGCUGGGCGCGAGGUGAUGGCUGGCAGCGGCGCGAUGCCGCGGGCGGCCGGUUGCGGUGCGAUGCCGCGAGAUGAAGGUGGUGCGAUGAUCGGCGUCGCGAGGACGUCAUCCACGACAAGAUGGUCCAUGGUGACCGGCGCUGCGACGGCGUCGGUUGUGGCGCGACGGACUUCAUGCGAGAUGGAGGCCGACGGCGCAAGAAGGAGGAUGGUGGCCAUGCGGUGCCGCUAUGUGAAGAUGGCGGUGCGAAGCUGCCACAAGAAGAGUCGGCGUGAUGCCGACGACGGUGGUGUGAUGCCAUCGUCAUCAUGGAAAGUUGGUGUGAAGCCAACAAAAGUUGCGGUGCGAUGCCGCUUGGCGAAGACGGCGUGGUGAUCGGCGCUGCGACAGCGUGGUCCACGUCGAGAGGAGGCCGCCACGAGCGGCAAGUCGGCAUGGUGACGGACGCUGUGAUGGGGUCGUCCACGACAAGAUGGUGCAUGGUGGUUGGCGCUGCGACGGCGUCGUGCACGGCAAGGUGUUGCGGGCGAUCCGCGAGAGGAACUUGCGGUUUAGCAUGACAAGAUUAGGGAGGUGAUUGUUAGCACUAAUCUUGUCAUGAUGUACCAGCAUGCAUGUUUAGUUUUGAGUUUGCAUGUAGUUUAGAUGAUCUAGGGCAGUGUAUGUAGGCCAAUGAUACUUCAGCUACGCGCGUGAAGAAAGCGAGAUGUCGGGCUGCCGUGCGAUGCGGUGAGCACGGCAAGAUGCCGAUGAUGUCGUGCGAUACGGCGAGGCUGUGAGAAGCAGCGAGACGCGACGAAGCUGGAGGAUGAUGGGCUGCUCGUUUAGGUUGAGCCGAGUGAUUUGGCCAAGCCGUAGUUAGUUAGAGUGUGCUGGUUGGUUGUAGCUAGCUAGCUUCGUGCAUGAAGUAGUAGGCCACGUUGAGACGUGGAGCUAGUUUUAGAUAUGGCCGAGUCGUGUGGCCGUUGGAGUGAUUUCAGGAGUAGGAUAAGGCUGUUAGUGCAUGCAUAGAUUAGUGGGAUUAGUUGCCGAGAGAGGUGGCUGGCCAGUGCGUGUAUGGUCCUUGUAUAUAUAUGUUUCAGUGGAGUAAUGAAGAGAGGAGGCCGAGAGGGCUGAGCAGAGAAACCAUGUAGCCAUUGUGGUUCACCAAGGGAGUGUCUCUGGCAAAGCCGUUCC
This 2116-nucleotide long non-coding RNA is filed under the name Triticum aestivum (bread wheat). Its description in RNAcentral is "long non-coding RNA (TAES_LNC001105)". Lineage: Eukaryota; Viridiplantae; Streptophyta; Magnoliopsida; Poales; Poaceae. The record is from RNAcentral.